RNAcentral lists this ribosomal RNA (253 nucleotides) under uncultured bacterium. RNAcentral's name for it is "partial 16S ribosomal RNA". It matches the Rfam family "Bacterial small subunit ribosomal RNA", at positions 524 to 776 of the family's 1533-position model. The record is from RNAcentral.
UACGGGGGGGGCAAGCGUUGUUCGGAAUUACUGGGCGUAAAGGGCUCGUAGGUGGCCAACUAAGUCAGACGUGAAAUCCCUCAGCUUAACUGGGGAACUGCGUCUGAUACUGGAUGGCUUGAGUUUGGGUGAGGGAUGCGGAAUUCCAGGUGUAGCGGUGAAAUGCGUAGAUAUCUGGAGGAACACCGGUGGCGAAGGCGGCAUCCUGGACCAACACUGACACUGAGGAGCGAAAGCCAGGGGAGCAAACGGG